RNAcentral lists this long non-coding RNA (659 nucleotides) under Rhinopithecus bieti (black snub-nosed monkey). RNAcentral's name for it is "lncRNA (ENSRBIG00000046252.1)". The record is from RNAcentral. Lineage: Eukaryota; Metazoa; Chordata; Mammalia; Primates; Cercopithecidae.
CCAUGACCCACAGCUUCUAAUAGAACUAUAACACUCACUGCAUGGCCCAAGAUUCCAUUCCUUGGAAUCCCUGAGGCCAAGAACCCCAGGUCAGAGAACACAACACUUGCCACCAUCUUGGAAGUGGCCCGCCACCAUCUUGGAAGCAGCCACCACCAUCUUGGGAGCUCUGGGAGCAAGGACCCCCUGGUAACAGCAUGAGCUCAAAAAUGAGCAUCACACAGUCCAGAAGUAAACUGGCAAAAGUAUGUGAGGAAAUUCAACAAUACUUUACCAAGUAAAUAGAGAAGAAAUAUUCUUCACUUCAAAGAACCUCACUGCAGCUUUAAUCUGACUGUAAAAUGCACAUACAAAAUAAAUAGAAAAUUGGACACAACUAUCAUGAUGGGUUCAUCUAACUUCUACAUGAGAUUGUCUACAUCCUGUUUAUUUUUAAAUGAGACAAGAUAUAAUUAGUGAUUAAAAGAGUAAGCAAGUGUCAUUGUUUGCAUAGAUAUUUCUAAGACUAUGACAAAAUAACCAUAUACAUUUGCAAGAACUUUUAUUGACUACGUCAAGUCAAAUGAUAAGAACUGUUACACAUCCCUAAUGAGUUUUUGUAUGAAUUUUAGUUUGUUCUAAAAUGAAAAGCAAUAAAACAGAAAAUUAUGUGAACAAAU